Molecule: ribosomal RNA, 465 nt
Filed under: uncultured bacterium
Lineage: Bacteria
Description: partial 16S ribosomal RNA
Rfam family: Bacterial small subunit ribosomal RNA
Source: RNAcentral
GACGAACGCUGGCGGCGUGCUUAACACAUGCAAGUCGAACGGAAAGGCCCUGCUUGCAGGGUACUCGAGUGGCGAACGGGUGAGUAACACGUGGGUGAUCUGCCCUGCACUUCGGGAUAAGCCUGGGAAACUGGGUCUAAUACCGGAUAGGAGCCAUUUUUAGUGUGAUGGUUGGAAAGUUUUUUCGGUGUAGGAUGAGCUCGCGGCCUAUCAGCUUGUUGGUGGGGUAAUGGCCUACCAAGGCGGCGACGGGUAGCCGGCCUGAGAGGGUGGACGGCCACUUUGGGACUGAGAUACGGCCCAGACUCCUACGGGAGGCAGCAGUGGGGAAUAUUGCACAAUGGGCGCAAGCCUGAUGCAGCGACGCCGCGUGGGGGAUGACGGCCUUCGGGUUGUAAACUCCUUUCGCUGGGGACGAAGCUUUUUGUGACGGUACCUAGAUAAGAAGCACCGGCUAACUACGUG